AUUGAACGCUGGCGGCAGGCCUAACACAUGCAAGUCGAACGGUAACAGAAAGCAGCUUGCUGCUUUGCUGACGAGUGGCGGACGGGUGAGUAAUGUCUGGGAAACUGCCUGAUGGAGGGGGAUAACUACUGGAAACGGUAGCUAAUACCGCAUAACGUCGCAAGACCAAAGAGGGGGACCUUCGGGCCUCUUGCCAUCGGAUGUGCCCAGAUGGGAUUAGCUAGUAGGUGGGGUAACGGCUCGCCUAGGCGACGAUCCCUAGCUGGUCUGAGAGGAUGACCAGCCACACUGGAACUGAGACACGGUCCAGACUCCUACGGGAGGCAGCAGUGGGGAAUAUUGCACAAUGGGCGCAAGCCUGAUGCAGCCAUGCCGCGUGUAUGAAGAAGGCCUUCGGGUUGUAAAGUACUUUCAGCGGGGAGGAAGGGAGUAAAGUUAAUACCUUUGCUCAUUGACGUUACCCGCAGAAGAAGCACCGGCUAACUCCGUG
Molecule: ribosomal RNA, 490 nt
Filed under: uncultured bacterium
Lineage: Bacteria
Description: partial 16S ribosomal RNA
Rfam family: Bacterial small subunit ribosomal RNA
Source: RNAcentral